Molecule: ribosomal RNA, 194 nt
Filed under: uncultured Rhodocyclaceae bacterium
Lineage: Bacteria; Pseudomonadati; Pseudomonadota; Betaproteobacteria; Rhodocyclales; Rhodocyclaceae
Description: partial 16S ribosomal RNA
Rfam family: Bacterial small subunit ribosomal RNA
Source: RNAcentral
CCUAGGGGAGGCAGCAGUGGGGAAUUUUGGACAAUGGGGGCAACCCUGAUCCAGCCAUGCCGCGUGAGUGAAGAAGGCCUUCGGGUUGUAAAGCUCUUUCGGCCGGGAAGAAAUCGCACAGGCUAAUACUCUGUGUGGAUGACGGUACCGGCAUAAGAAGCACCGGCUAACUACGUGCCAGCAGCCGCGGUAAU